RNAcentral lists this small RNA (467 nucleotides) under Malus domestica (apple). Its description in RNAcentral is "sRNA MD11G0148700". The record is from RNAcentral. Lineage: Eukaryota; Viridiplantae; Streptophyta; Magnoliopsida; Rosales; Rosaceae.
ACUCUACCCCAUAUAGGAGUGCAUAAGGCGUGUACUAGGAGCGGAAGAUCUUUGCUUGUUGCUGUGUUCGUGGUUCAUCAUUGAGCUUGGAUUUAAUGGCUUCACAAGUGCUAGUUGAAUAAUAUUGACGAAGUGUCUAGCAUGUUUAUAAGAGCUCCAUAAAUGAAAAACAAAAAGCUGAGAGCGCAACGGAUUUGCAAAAGGAGAAUGAAGAUGUUAUUGCACAAUUGAAGGUCUUUUGGCUGCAAGUUAGGGGUAGACAAAUAGCACAGGGUAGACUUUUUUUUUGUUAGCACCUCAGUGUUUACAGGUGUUGAAUUGCUAUUACGUUGAGAUGAGAGACCGAGUGUGUCCGACUGGUACUUUUUAGUUUUGUGGAUGUUCAUGUUAGGUUCUGAGAUGUCAUUUGGUGUAUAUUUUCGACCUAUGUGAUUGAAUUCUUUAUUAAUAAAAAUGUGAUUUACUGA